CCUACGGGUGGCAGCAGUAGGGAAUCUUCCACAAUGGACGAAAGUCUGAUGGAGCAACGCCGCGUGAGUGAAGAAGGGUUUCGGCUCGUAAAGCUCUGUUGGUAGUGAAGAAAGAUAGAGGUAGUAACUGGCCUUUAUUUGACGGUAAUUACUUAGAAAUUAAGGGUUAACUACUUCCAAGCGGCAGCGGUAAUACGUAGGUGGCAAGCGUUGUCCGGAUUUAUGGGGGGUAAGGCGAGUGAAGGCGGUUCAAUAAGUCUGAUGUGAAAGCCUUCGGCUCAACCGGAGAAUUGCAGCAGAAUCUGUUGAACUUGAGUGCAGAAGAGGAGAGUGGAACUCCAUGUGUAGCGGUGGAAUGCAUAGAUAUCACGCAGAACUCCGAUUGCGAAGGCAGCAUACCGGCGCCCGACUGACGCUGAGGCACGAAAGCGUGGGGAUCGAACAGGAUUAGAUACCCGUGUAGUC
RNAcentral lists this ribosomal RNA (465 nucleotides) under uncultured bacterium. Its description in RNAcentral is "partial 16S ribosomal RNA". It matches the Rfam family "Bacterial small subunit ribosomal RNA", at positions 338 to 795 of the family's 1533-position model. The record is from RNAcentral.